AGUCCAUGCUAUGGGCACUUCUUUAGCAUUGUCUUGAAAGGCUCCCAUGCCUCAUAUAAAGAUUGACCUUCAUAUUGUUCAAAAUUUGUGAUUUCGUAUCGUAGCU
This is a non-coding RNA of Gossypium arboreum, 106 nucleotides long. NCBI's taxonomy places the organism in Eukaryota, Viridiplantae, Streptophyta, Magnoliopsida, Malvales, Malvaceae. The record is from Rfam.